This 228-nucleotide long non-coding RNA is filed under the name Helianthus annuus (common sunflower). Its description in RNAcentral is "sRNA HanXRQr2_Chr14g0658151". The record is from RNAcentral. Lineage: Eukaryota; Viridiplantae; Streptophyta; Magnoliopsida; Asterales; Asteraceae.
AAAUACUUGAACUCAAACCGGUGUGCUCUCGUGACCAAGAACCCGUGCAAUCCAAGACUCGAUCGAGGCCUAAAGGCAAAAGCGAAUGUAAGUAUGUAUUAGAUUAUGUAUUUGAAGGAAACUAAUAGUAUGUUUUGUGAAAGUUUUGAACAAAUUAUGAUAACGACAUGGUAAAUAAGUUUUGAAAAUGUUACACGAGCCGAAACUAAAUUCUUCGGACAUAAGGUG